RNAcentral lists this small nucleolar RNA (132 nucleotides) under Moschus moschiferus (Siberian musk deer). RNAcentral's name for it is "Small nucleolar RNA SNORA79 (ENSMMSG00000017597.1)". It matches the Rfam family "Small nucleolar RNA SNORA79". Rfam says of the family: ACA65 (SNORA79) is a member of the H/ACA class of snoRNAs that guide the sites of modification of uridines to pseudouridines. This snoRNA was identified by computational screening and its expression in mouse experimentally verified by Northern blot and primer extension analysis. The record is from Rfam by way of RNAcentral. Lineage: Eukaryota; Metazoa; Chordata; Mammalia; Artiodactyla; Moschidae.
UGAUGGCUGUUCUUCUCACUGCGUGGAGCCUUAAGUAGUGGGAUUUUAGUCCAUCAUAUAUCUAAACUGACUUGUUUUCACUCAGGGCACAAUGGGUUAGCUGCCUUUUGAUUUUUGCAGACUCAAACAAUU